CUGGUGUCAGCCGCCGCGGUAAUACCAGCACCCCGAGUGGUCGGGACGAUUAUUGGGCCUAAAGCAUCCGUAGCCGGUUCUACAAGUCUUCCGUUAAAUCCACCUGCUUAACAGAUGGGCUGCGGAGGAUACUAUGGAGCUAGGAGGCGGGAGAGGCAAGCGGUACUCAGUGGGUAGGGGUAAAAUCCGUUGAUCCAUUGAAGACCACCAGUGGCGAAGGCGGCUUGCCAGAACGCACUCGACGGUGAGGGAUGAAAGCUGGGGGAGCAAACCGGAUUAGAUACCCGGGUAGUCCCAGCUGUAAACGAUGCAGACUCGGUGAUGAAUAGGCUUCGUGCCUAUUCAGUGCCGCAGGGAAGCCGUUAAGUCUGCCGCCUGGGGAGUACGGUCGCAAGACUGAAACUUAAAG
Molecule: ribosomal RNA, 409 nt
Filed under: uncultured Nitrososphaerota archaeon
Lineage: Archaea; Thermoproteati; Nitrososphaerota
Description: bacterial SSU rRNA
Rfam family: Archaeal small subunit ribosomal RNA
Source: RNAcentral